This 253-nucleotide ribosomal RNA is filed under the name uncultured bacterium. Its description in RNAcentral is "partial 16S ribosomal RNA". It matches the Rfam family "Bacterial small subunit ribosomal RNA", at positions 524 to 776 of the family's 1533-position model. The record is from RNAcentral.
UACGUAGGUGGCAAGCGUUGUCCGGAAUUAUUGGGCGUAAAGCGCGCGCAGGCGGUCCCUUAAGUCCGAUGUGAAAGCCCACGGCUCAACCGUGGAGGGUCAUUGGAAACUGGGGGACUUGAGUGCAGAAGAGGAAAGUGGAAUUCCAUGUGUAGCGGUGAAAUGCGUAGAGAUGUGGAGGAACACCAGUGGCGAAGGCGACUUUCUGGUCUGUAACUGACGCUGAGGCGCGAAAGCGUGGGGAGCAAACAGG